Pelobates cultripes (western spadefoot toad) is the source of this 1027-nucleotide non-coding RNA. NCBI's taxonomy places the organism in Eukaryota, Metazoa, Chordata, Amphibia, Anura, Pelobatidae. The record is from the annotation of a GenBank genome assembly.
UGAGUAUGGAUAAGUAUAUGACCUGAUAUCCUUCAAUUCACAAGAAUACACAAAAUACAAGAUGCAGGAUAGUAGUCAUAUAAAUUACAUAUUAAAACAAGACAUCUAUUAAUUGUGGCUUUUGACAUAUGUCAACAUGAAAACACAUUCAAAUAUAGGGCUGUACACCAUAACAUUCAUGUAACUAUUUUUCAACAGUGUAAAAGAAAAUGGGAACUUUAUAUCCAGAUGUAAUACUCAUUAAGUGUAUCUGUGGUUUUCGAGAAGUUGCAGUCCCACAUCAAGUAGAGUAGCACACUAAUCUACUGCGCCUUCAGUUAGCCUAAACUUGCAGCCUAAAAGAGUCAUACAUGGUGCUAAUGAGGUGAUGCUGCUAACUGGUUGUGUUUCCAUUGAUGGAUAGGAUAAGUGUGUGGUCAUAAUCUUUAAUCAAAUGAGAUAAAGAAUGCCACUUACAUAGUCAAUGUAUACUGCAGAACAUUAAACACGAGCAUGGUAAGGGAGGGAUGUGCAAGUCAAAAGUAUUUUACCUAUGAAAUUAGGGAAUGGACAAGAGAAGUGAUGGCUAGCAUUAGCACAGCAAAUGUUUCACAAUUAUAAUUUCCUAGAAUGCUCAGUCAGAAGGCUAACUGAGUAUUAUGGGCAACAUCGUUGAUGAAUUAUCACUGUAUUUCUGCUUGCAGAAUGUAGGGUUAGGCUAUAACUUAAAGGGACACUAUAGUCACCAAAACAACUUUAGCUUAAUGAAACAGUUUUAGUGUAUAGAUCAUGCAUCUGAAGUUCCACUGCUCAAUUCUCUGCUAUUUAGGAGUUAAAUCACUAUGGUGACUGACAGCCUGCAUGAAAACAACAUGGUUUCAUUUUCAAUCAUAUGUAUCUUACUUUUAACAUUUUUAUCUCCUGCUUUGUAAAUUGGACUUUAAUUACAUACAGGAGGCAGUGCAGGAGAUAAGAAAUUCUAAAUUAAACAAUAAAGGAAGUGUAAACAAUAGGAAGGCUGUGUUAGUCACAUGCAGAGUGGUGUGAC